GACGAACGCUGGCGGCGUGCUUAACACAUGCAAGUCGAACGAAGUGGCGAACGGGUGAGUAAUACGUGAGUAACCUGCCCUCCUUUUUGGGAUAAGCCUUGGAAACGGGGUCUAAUACCGAAUAAAGGGGGAUGGGCGCGCGGCCUAUCAGCUGGUUGGUGGGGUGAUGGCCUACCAAGGCGGUGACGGGUAGCCGGCCUGAGAGGGUGACCGGGCAAAUUGGGACUGGGAUACGGCCCAGACGCAUACGGGAGGCAGCAGUGGGGGAUAUUGCACAAUGGGCGGAAGCCUGAUGCAGCGACGCCGCGUGGGGGAUGAAGGCUUUCGGGUUGUAAUACUCUUUCGCUAGCGGAAGGGUAGGUGGAGAAGAAGCGCCGGCUAACUACGUGCCAGCAGCCGCGGUAAUAC
RNAcentral lists this ribosomal RNA (408 nucleotides) under uncultured bacterium. RNAcentral describes it as "partial 16S ribosomal RNA". It matches the Rfam family "Bacterial small subunit ribosomal RNA", at positions 28 to 526 of the family's 1533-position model. The record is from RNAcentral.